AACGAACGCUGGCGGCAUGCCUAACACAUGCAAGUCGAACGAGACCUUCGGGUCUAGUGGCGCACGGGUGCGUAACGCGUGGGAAUCUGCCCUUUGCUUCGGAAUAACAGUUAGAAAUGACUGCUAAUACCGGAUGAUGUCGAAAGACCAAAGAUUUAUCGGCAAAGGAUGAGCCCGCGUAGGAUUAGGUAGUUGGUGGGGUAAAGGCCUACCAAGCCGACGAUCCUUAGCUGGUCUGAGAGGAUGAUCAGCCACACUGGGACUGAGACACGGCCCAGACUCCUACGGGAGGCAGCAGUGGGGAAUAUUGGACAAUGGGCGAAAGCCUGAUCCAGCAAUGCCGCGUGAGUGAUGAAGGCCUUAGGGUUGUAAAGCUCUUUUACCAGGGAUGAUAAUGACAGUACCUGGAGAAUAAGCUCCGGCUAACUCCGUG
RNAcentral lists this ribosomal RNA (433 nucleotides) under uncultured bacterium. RNAcentral describes it as "bacterial SSU rRNA". It matches the Rfam family "Bacterial small subunit ribosomal RNA", at positions 29 to 507 of the family's 1533-position model. The record is from RNAcentral.